This 468-nucleotide ribosomal RNA is filed under the name uncultured bacterium. RNAcentral's name for it is "partial 16S ribosomal RNA". It matches the Rfam family "Bacterial small subunit ribosomal RNA", at positions 28 to 507 of the family's 1533-position model. The record is from RNAcentral.
GACGAACGCUGGCGGCGUGCUUAACACUUGCAAGUCGAACGGAAAGGCCCUGCUUUUGUGGGGUGCUCGAGUGGCGAACGGGUGAGUAACACGUGAGUAACCUGCCCUUGACUUUGGGAUAACUUCAGGAAACUGGGGCUAAUACCGGAUAGGAGCUCCUGCUGCAUGGUGGGGGUUGGAAAGUUUCGGCGGUUGGGGAUGGACUCGCGGCUUAUCAGCUUGUUGGUGGGGUAGUGGCUUACCAAGGCUUUGACGGGUAGCCGGCCUGAGAGGGUGACCGGCCACAUUGGGACUGAGCUACGGCCCAGACUCCUACGGGAGGCAGCAGUGGGGAAUAUUGCACAAUGGGCGGAAGCCUGAUGCAGCAACGCCGCGUGCGGGAUGACGGCCUUCGGGUUGUAAACCGCUUUCGCCUGUGACGAAGCGUGAGUGACGGUAAUGGGUAAAGAAGCACCGGCUAACUACGUG